Molecule: ribosomal RNA, 253 nt
Filed under: uncultured bacterium
Lineage: Bacteria
Description: partial 16S ribosomal RNA
Rfam family: Bacterial small subunit ribosomal RNA
Source: RNAcentral
UACGUAGGUGACCAGCGUUGUCCGGAUUUACUGGGCGUAAAGAGCGCGCAGGCGGUCGUUCAAGUCGAGUGUGAAAGCCCCCGGCUCAACUGGGGAGGGUCAUUCGAUACUGAUCGACUGGAAGGCAGGAGAGGGAAGCGGAAUUCCCGGUGUAGUGGUGAAAUGCGUAGAUAUCAGGAGGAACACCAAUGGCGAAGGCAGCUCGCUGGGACGUGACUGACGCUGAGACGCGAAAGCGUGGGGAGCAAACAGG